RNAcentral lists this ribosomal RNA (1528 nucleotides) under uncultured bacterium. Its description in RNAcentral is "bacterial SSU rRNA". It matches the Rfam family "Bacterial small subunit ribosomal RNA". The record is from RNAcentral.
GAGUUUGAUCCUGGCUCAGAACGAACGCUGGCAGCGUGGAUUAGGCAUGCAAGUCGAACGGGAUCCGUGGGAUUGAUUAGCAAUAUGAUUUCCCAUGGUGAGAGUGGCGGAAGGGCGAGGACGAUAUGGGCAAUCUGCCCUUAUGCUGGGGAUAACGCCCUGAAAGGGGCGCUAAAACCGAAUGUGGCGGGUGGGGGCAUCCCCAUCCAGCCAAAGGGGGGGACCGCAAGGCCUCCUGCAUAGGGAUGGGCCCGUAGAUCAUCAGCUUGUUGGCGGGGUAACGGCCCACCAAGGCAAUGACGAUUAGCUGGUCUGAGAGGACGGCCAGCCGCACUGGGACUGAGAUACUGCCCAGACUCCUACGGGAGGCUGCAGUCGAGGAUCAUUCGCAAUGGACGGAAGUCUGACGAUGCGACGCUGCGUGAAGGAUGAAGGUCUUCGGAUUGUAAACUUCUGUCAUGGGGGACAAGGCAGACGCCGCGAACAGCGGCGCGCGUUGAUGGUACCCCAAGAGGAAGCCACGGCUAACUCUGUGCCAGCAGCCGCGGUAAUACAGAGGUGGCAAGCGUUGUUCGGAUUUACUGGGCGUAAAGGGCGCGUAGGCGGCGGCGUGUGUCGGAUGUGAAAGCCCCGGGCUCAACCCGGGAAGUGCGUUCGAAACUGCGUCGCUGGAGUACGGAAGGGGGAUGCGGAAUGCAGGGUGUAGCGGUGAAAUGCGUUGAUAUCCUGCAGAACACCGGUGGCGAAGGCGGCAUCCUGGGACGUUACUGACGCUGAGGCGCGAAAGCAGGGGGAGCAAACAGGAUUAGAUACCCUGGUAGUCCCUGCCCUAAACGGUGUGCACUUGACGUGGGGGUCUCACCGCCUCCGUGUCGCAGCCAACGCUUUAAGUGCACCGCCUGGGGAGUACGGCCGCAAGGCUAAAACUCAAAGAAAUUGACGGGGGCCCGCACAAGCGGAGGAGCAUGUGGCUUAAUUCGAUGCAACGCGAAGAACCUUACCUGGAUUUGACAUCCAUCUGCACGGCCCAUGAAAGUGGGCCUCCUUCGAGGGUGAUGGACAGGUGCUGCAUGGCUGUCGUCAGUUCGUGCCGUGAGGUGUUUGGUUAAGUCCAGCAACGAACGCAACCCCUAUGACCUGUUACUAACGGACAAUGCCGAGGACUCGGGUCAGACUGCCUGUUUACGCAGGAGGAAGGUGGGGACGACGUCAAGUCAGUAUGGCCCUUACGUCCAGGGCUGCACACGUGCUACAAUGGCCGGUACAAUGGGCAGCGAUGCCGCAAGGCGGAGCCAAUCCCCAAAACCGGCCCCAGUUCGGAUUGGGGUCUGCAACCCGACCCCAUGAAGCCGGAUUCGCUAGUAACGGCGCAUCAGCUACGGCGCCGUGAAUACGUUCCCGGGCCUUGUACACACCGCCCGUCACAUCAUGAAAGCCGUCUGCACCCAACGCCGGAGAGCCCAACCGCAAGGGGGGCGCCGUCAAAGGUGUGGGUGGUGAUUGGGAUGAAGUCGUAACAAGGUAACCA